ACGGGGCGGCAGCAGCAGGGGUCGCGGCAGCAGCAGGGCUGGCAGCAGCCUCCCCCGUAGCUCAGGGAGGAGAAGGUGGAGCCGCAGCAGGAGCCGGUCACGGGGCGGCACACGGUGGUCUGGCAGGUCACGGGGCGGCAGCAGCAGGGGUCGCGGCAGCAGCAGGGCUGGCAGCAGCCUCCCCCGUAGCUCAGGGAGGAGAAGGUGGAGCCGCAGCAGGAGCCGGUCAUGGUGGUGUCUGAGGCUGGUGUGGGUUGGGCUAUUGAGAGGAGCUGGAUGUUCUCAGGUGUGAAUGUCCUCCUCCCCCUCUGGGCCCUUUAUAUACCCUGGCUGGGAGCUGAUGACCCUUCAACAUAUGAUCAUUUUCUUGUGCAUCUUCUGGCCAAUUAAGUGAAGAUUUAG
This 402-nucleotide long non-coding RNA is filed under the name Homo sapiens (human). RNAcentral describes it as "HSALNT0389774". Lineage: Eukaryota; Metazoa; Chordata; Mammalia; Primates; Hominidae. The record is from RNAcentral.